This 69-nucleotide transfer RNA is filed under the name Urocitellus parryii (Arctic ground squirrel). RNAcentral describes it as "Spermophilus parryii (Arctic ground squirrel) tRNA". It matches the Rfam family "tRNA". From Rfam's summary of the family: Transfer RNA (tRNA) molecules are approximately 80 nucleotides in length. Their secondary structure includes four short double-helical elements and three loops (D, anti-codon, and T loops). Further hydrogen bonds mediate the characteristic L-shaped molecular structure. tRNAs have two regions of fundamental functional importance: the anti-codon, which is responsible for specific mRNA codon recognition, and the 3' end, to which the tRNAs corresponding amino acid is attached (by aminoacyl-tRNA synthetases). tRNAs cope with the degeneracy of the genetic code in two manners: having more than one tRNA (with a specific anti-codon) for a particular amino acid; and 'wobble' base-pairing, i.e. permitting non-standard base-pairing at the 3rd anti-codon position. The record is from Rfam by way of RNAcentral. RNAcentral also lists the same sequence under 1 other name. Lineage: Eukaryota; Metazoa; Chordata; Mammalia; Rodentia; Sciuridae.
GGGGUUGUGGCUCAGUGGUAGAGUACUUGCUUAGCAUGCAAGAAACUGAAUAGUGACAUUUCAAUAUUA